RNAcentral lists this ribosomal RNA (253 nucleotides) under uncultured bacterium. RNAcentral's name for it is "partial 16S ribosomal RNA". It matches the Rfam family "Bacterial small subunit ribosomal RNA", at positions 524 to 776 of the family's 1533-position model. The record is from RNAcentral.
UACGUAGGGUGCAAGCGUUAAUCGGAAUUACUGGGCGUAAAGCGUGCGCAGGCGGUUAUAUAAGUCAGAUGUGAAAUCCCCGGGCUCAACCUGGGAGUGGCAUUUGAGACUGUAUAGCUAGAGUGUGUCAGAGGGGGGUAGAAUGCCACGUGUAGCAGUGAAAUGCGUAGAGAUGUGGAGGAACACCGAUGGCGAAGGCAGCCCCCUGGGAUAACACUGACGCUCAUGCACGAAAGCGUGGGGAGCAAACAGG